UGGGGAAUUUUGGACAAUGGGGGAAACCCUGAUCCAGCCAUGCCGCGUGAGUGAAGAAGGCCUUCGGGUUGUAAAGCUCUUUCGGCCGGGACGAAAUCGCACACGUGAAUAUCGUGUGUGGAUGACGGUACCGGCAGAAGAAGGACCGGCUAACUACGUGCCAGCAGCCGCGGUAAUACGUAGGGUCCGAGCGUUAAUCGGAAUUACUGGGCGUAAAGCGUGCGCAGGCGGUUUUGUAAGCCAGAUGUGAAAUCCCCGGGCUCAACCUGGGAACUGCAUUUGGGACUGCAAGGCUUGAGUACGGCAGAGGGGGGUAGAAUUCCUGGUGUAGCAGUGAAAUGCGUAGAUAUCAGGAGGAAUACCGAUGGCGAAGGCAGCCCCCUGGGUCGAUACUGACGCUCAUGCACGAAAGCGUGGGGAGCAAACAG
This 428-nucleotide ribosomal RNA is filed under the name uncultured bacterium. RNAcentral describes it as "bacterial SSU rRNA". It matches the Rfam family "Bacterial small subunit ribosomal RNA", at positions 355 to 775 of the family's 1533-position model. The record is from RNAcentral.